RNAcentral lists this ribosomal RNA (233 nucleotides) under uncultured bacterium. RNAcentral's name for it is "partial 16S ribosomal RNA". It matches the Rfam family "Bacterial small subunit ribosomal RNA", at positions 544 to 776 of the family's 1533-position model. The record is from RNAcentral.
UCCGGAUUUACUGGUUUUAAAGGGUGCGUAGGUGGGUUGGUAAGUCAGUGGUGAAAUCUUCGAGCUUAACUCGGAAACUGCCAUUGAUACUAUUUAUCUUGAAUACUUUGGAGGUAAGCGGAAUAUGUCAUGUAGCGGUGAAAUGCUUAGAUAUGACAUAGAACACCAAUUGCGAAGGCAGCUUACUACACAGUUAUUGACACUGAGGCACGAAAGCGUGGGGAUCAAACAGG